This 24-nucleotide microRNA is filed under the name Prunus persica (peach). RNAcentral describes it as "microRNA miRNA_36". Lineage: Eukaryota; Viridiplantae; Streptophyta; Magnoliopsida; Rosales; Rosaceae. The record is from RNAcentral.
AUAAAUUUCUUGGACCCCUGUAGU